UAACGUCUUCAGGGCGGGGCGGAACUCCCCACCGGCGGUAGGUCGCCCGGCUCCAGCAGCCGCGCCGACGAGCCCGCGAGCGCCUCCGGCAACGUACCGCCGCAGGGUUAGCAGAUCCGGUCCGAUGCCGGAGCCGACGGUCACAGUCCGGAUGAAAGAAGACGGCG
This 167-nucleotide non-coding RNA is filed under the name Lysobacter arseniciresistens ZS79. RNAcentral describes it as "Lysobacter sp. ZS79 FMN riboswitch aptamer (RFN element)". It matches the Rfam family "FMN riboswitch aptamer (RFN element)". Rfam says of the family: The RFN element is a highly conserved domain that is found frequently in the 5'-untranslated regions of prokaryotic mRNAs that encode for flavin mononucleotide (FMN) biosynthesis and transport proteins. The record is from Rfam by way of RNAcentral. Lineage: Bacteria; Pseudomonadati; Pseudomonadota; Gammaproteobacteria; Lysobacterales; Lysobacteraceae. RNAcentral also lists the same sequence under 1 other name.